This 67-nucleotide transfer RNA is filed under the name Notostomus gibbosus. Its description in RNAcentral is "tRNA-Ser". Lineage: Eukaryota; Metazoa; Arthropoda; Malacostraca; Decapoda; Oplophoridae. The record is from RNAcentral.
GAGUGAGAAGCCACCAAGGCGAAGCUUCUAACUUCCCCCUUAAGCGGUUAAAGUCCGUUUUCACUCC